Molecule: long non-coding RNA, 477 nt
Filed under: Mytilus galloprovincialis (Mediterranean mussel)
Lineage: Eukaryota; Metazoa; Mollusca; Bivalvia; Mytilida; Mytilidae
Source: RNAcentral
UAUAAAGCUGUCACUGUGCAAAUAUAUAUAUACUGGAUUUUAAGUUACAGAUAAAUUUAAUGAACAAAUGUCAAGUAUAUGUUUGCAUGAACCAUGAAAAUGAGUUGUAUAAAAAUCAUAUAUAUAUAUAUAUAUAUUUGUUUAUUAUACAUGUUAUAGUGCAACUUGAUUAUAUACAUAUAUUACAGUUGUAAAAUUUACAAUACAAAUAUCAGCCAGCCUCCAUAGGCUUAUGAAUCACUUUGGGCCAAAUAUAUUAAAGAUCAGUUAUAUUCUCAAAAAGUUAUAAAGCUGUCACUGUGCAAAUAUAUAUAUACUGGAUUUUAAGUUACAGAUAAAUUUAAUGAACAAAUGUCAAGUAUAUGUUUGCAUGAACCAUGAAAAUGAGUUGUAUAAAAAAGGGAUGUGGUGUGAUUGUAAUGCACAUGAACAUUGUAUCUGAGAGACAAGCCUAACACAAAACCAAAGAACCACGAA